RNAcentral lists this ribosomal RNA (115 nucleotides) under Parvularcula dongshanensis. The record is from RNAcentral. Lineage: Bacteria; Pseudomonadati; Pseudomonadota; Alphaproteobacteria; Parvularculales; Parvularculaceae.
CCUGGUGGUUAUAGCGCGGGGCCUUCACCCGAUCCCAUCCCGAACUCGGUCGUUAAAUCCUGCAGCGCCAAUGGUACUUCGUCUUAAGACGUGGGAGAGUAGGUCGUCGCCAGGC